RNAcentral lists this ribosomal RNA (2902 nucleotides) under Shigella flexneri 6603-63. RNAcentral's name for it is "bacterial LSU rRNA". It matches the Rfam family "Bacterial large subunit ribosomal RNA". Lineage: Bacteria; Pseudomonadati; Pseudomonadota; Gammaproteobacteria; Enterobacterales; Enterobacteriaceae. The record is from RNAcentral.
UUAAGCGACUAAGCGUACACGGUGGAUGCCUUGGCAGUCAGAGGCGAUGAAGGACGUGCUAAUCUGCGAUAAGCGUCGGUAAGGUGAUAUGAACCGUUAUAACCGGCGAUUUCCGAAUGGGGAAACCCAGUGUGAUUCGUCACACUAUCAUUAACUGAAUCCAUAGGUUAAUGAGGCGAACCGGGGGAACUGAAACAUCUAAGUACCCCGAGGAAAAGAAAUCAACCGAGAUUCCCCCAGUAGCGGCGAGCGAACGGGGAGCAGCCCAGAGCCUGAAUCAGUGUGUGUGUUAGUGGAAGCGUCUGGAAAGGCGUGCGAUACAGGGUGACAGCCCCGUACACAAAAAUGCACAUACUGUGAGCUCGAUGAGUAGGGCGGGACACGUGGUAUCCUGUCUGAAUAUGGGGGGACCAUCCUCCAAGGCUAAAUACUCCUGACUGACCGAUAGUGAACCAGUACCGUGAGGGAAAGGCGAAAAGAACCCCGGCGAGGGGAGUGAAAAAGAACCUGAAACCGUGUACGUACAAGCAGUGGGAGCACGCUUAGGCGUGUGACUGCGUACCUUUUGUAUAAUGGGUCAGCGACUUAUAUUCUGUAGCAAGGUUAACCGAAUAGGGGAGCCGAAGGGAAACCGAGUCUUAACUGGGCGUUAAGUUGCAGGGUAUAGACCCGAAACCCGGUGAUCUAGCCAUGGGCAGGUUGAAGGUUGGGUAACACUAACUGGAGGACCGAACCGACUAAUGUUGAAAAAUUAGCGGAUGACUUGUGGCUGGGGGUGAAAGGCCAAUCAAACCGGGAGAUAGCUGGUUCUCCCCGAAAGCUAUUUAGGUAGCGCCUCGUGAAUUCAUCUCCGGGGGUAGAGCACUGUUUCGGCAAGGGGGUCAUCCCGACUUACCAACCCGAUGCAAACUGCGAAUACCGGAGAAUGUUAUCACGGGAGACACACGGCGGGUGCUAACGUCCGUCGUGAAGAGGGAAACAACCCAGACCGCCAGCUAAGGUCCCAAAGUCAUGGUUAAGUGGGAAACGAUGUGGGAAGGCCCAGACAGCCAGGAUGUUGGCUUAGAAGCAGCCAUCAUUUAAAGAAAGCGUAAUAGCUCACUGGUCGAGUCGGCCUGCGCGGAAGAUGUAACGGGGCUAAACCAUGCACCGAAGCUGCGGCAGCGACGCUUAUGCGUUGUUGGGUAGGGGAGCGUUCUGUAAGCCUGUGAAGGUGUGCUGUGAGGUAUGCUGGAGGUAUCAGAAGUGCGAAUGCUGACAUAAGUAACGAUAAAGCGGGUGAAAAGCCCGCUCGCCGGAAGACCAAGGGUUCCUGUCCAACGUUAAUCGGGGCAGGGUGAGUCGACCCCUAAGGCGAGGCCGAAAGGCGUAGUCGAUGGGAAACAGGUUAAUAUUCCUGUACUUGGUGUUACUGCGAAGGGGGGACGGAGAAGGCUAUGUUGGCCGGGCGACGGUUGUCCCGGUUUAAGCGUGUAGGCUGGUUUUCCAGGCAAAUCCGGAAAAUCAAGGCCGAGGCGUGAUGACGAGGCACUACGGUGCUGAAGCAACAAAUGCCCUGCUUCCAGGAAAAGCCUCUAAGCAUCAGGUAACAUCAAAUCGUACCCCAAACCGACACAGGUGGUCAGGUAGAGAAUACCAAGGCGCUUGAGAGAACUCGGGUGAAGGAACUAGGCAAAAUGGUGCCGUAACUUCGGGAGAAGGCACGCUGAUACGUAGGUGAAGCGACUUGCUCGUGGAGCUGAAAUCAGUCGAAGAUACCAGCUGGCUGCAACUGUUUAUUAAAAACACAGCACUGUGCAAACACGAAAGUGGACGUAUACGGUGUGACGCCUGCCCGGUGCCGGAAGGUUAAUUGAUGGGGUUAGCGCAAGCGAAGCUCUUGAUCGAAGCCCCGGUAAACGGCGGCCGUAACUAUAACGGUCCUAAGGUAGCGAAAUUCCUUGUCGGGUAAGUUCCGACCUGCACGAAUGGCGUAAUGAUGGCCAGGCUGUCUCCACCCGAGACUCAGUGAAAUUGAACUCGCUGUGAAGAUGCAGUGUACCCGCGGCAAGACGGAAAGACCCCGUGAACCUUUACUAUAGCUUGACACUGAACAUUGAGCCUUGAUGUGUAGGAUAGGUGGGAGGCUUUGAAGUGUGGACGCCAGUCUGCAUGGAGCCGACCUUGAAAUACCACCCUUUAAUGUUUGAUGUUCUAACGUGGACCCGUGAUCCGGGUUGCGGACAGUGUCUGGUGGGUAGUUUGACUGGGGCGGUCUCCUCCUAAAGAGUAACGGAGGAGCACGAAGGUUGGCUAAUCCUGGUCGGACAUCAGGAGGUUAGUGCAAUGGCAUAAGCCAGCUUGACUGCGAGCGUGACGGCGCGAGCAGGUGCGAAAGCAGGUCAUAGUGAUCCGGUGGUUCUGAAUGGAAGGGCCAUCGCUCAACGGAUAAAAGGUACUCCGGGGAUAACAGGCUGAUACCGCCCAAGAGUUCAUAUCGACGGCGGUGUUUGGCACCUCGAUGUCGGCUCAUCACAUCCUAGGGCUGAAGUAGGUCCCAAGGGUAUGGCUGUUCGCCAUUUAAAGUGGUACGCGAGCUGGGUUUAGAACGUCGUGAGACAGUUCGGUCCCUAUCUGCCGUGGGCGCUGGAGAACUGAGGGGGGCUGCUCCUAGUACGAGAGGACCGGAGUGGACGCAUCACUGGUGUUCGGGUUGUCAUGCCAAUGGCACUGCCCGGUAGCUAAAUGCGGAAGAGAUAAGUGCUGAAAGCAUCUAAGCACGAAACUUGCCCCGAGAUGAGUUCUCCCUGACCCUUUAAGGGUCCUGAAGGAACGUUGAAGACGACGACGUUGAUAGGCCGGGUGUGUAAGCGCAGCGAUGCGUUGAGCUAACCGGUACUAAUGAACCGUGAGGCUUAACCUU